RNAcentral lists this ribosomal RNA (434 nucleotides) under uncultured bacterium. Its description in RNAcentral is "bacterial SSU rRNA". It matches the Rfam family "Bacterial small subunit ribosomal RNA", at positions 355 to 804 of the family's 1533-position model. The record is from RNAcentral.
UGGGGAAUAUUGGACAAUGGGCGAAAGCCUGAUCCAGCAAUGCCGCGUGAGUGAUGAAGGCCUUAGGGUUGUAAAGCUCUUUUACCAGGGAUGAUAAUGACAGUACCUGGAGAAUAAGCUCCGGCUAACUCCGUGCCAGCAGCCGCGGUAAUACGGAGGGAGCUAGCGUUGUUCGGAAUUACUGGGCGUAAAGCGUACGUAGGCGGUGACUCAAGUCAGAGGUGAAAGCCUGGAGCUCAACUCCAGAACUGCCUUUGAAACUAGGUCGCUAGAAUCACGGAGAGGUGAGUGGAAUUCCGAGUGUAGAGGUGAAAUUCGUAGAUAUUCGGAAGAACACCAGUGGCGAAGGCGGCUCACUGGACGUGUAUUGACGCUGAGGUACGAAAGCGUGGGGAGCAAACAGGAUUAGAUACCCUAGUAGUCCCUGAGCGGGC